UGAUGAGUUGAUAAACAAAUUGGU
Molecule: non-coding RNA, 24 nt
Filed under: Arabidopsis thaliana (thale cress)
Lineage: Eukaryota; Viridiplantae; Streptophyta; Magnoliopsida; Brassicales; Brassicaceae
Source: RNAcentral